RNAcentral lists this ribosomal RNA (429 nucleotides) under Pseudomonadota bacterium. RNAcentral's name for it is "Proteobacteria bacterium partial 16S ribosomal RNA". It matches the Rfam family "Bacterial small subunit ribosomal RNA", at positions 355 to 776 of the family's 1533-position model. Lineage: Bacteria; Pseudomonadati; Pseudomonadota. The record is from RNAcentral.
UGGGGAAUAUUGGACAAUGGGCGAAAGCCUGAUCCAGCCAUGCCGCGUGUGUGAAGAAGGUCUUCGGAUUGUAAAGCACUUUAAGUUGGGAGGAAGGGCAGUAAGCGAAUACCUUGCUGUUUUGACGUUACCGACAGAAUAAGCACCGGCUAACUCUGUGCCAGCAGCCGCGGUAAUACAGAGGGUGCAAGCGUUAAUCGGAAUUACUGGGCGUAAAGCGCGCGUAGGUGGUUCGUUAAGUUGAAUGUGAAAGCCCCGGGCUCAACCUGGGAACUGCAUCCAAGACUGGCGAGCUAGAGUAGGGCAGAGGGUGGUGGAAUUUCCUGUGUGGCGGUGAAAUGCGUAGAUAUAGGAAGGAACACCAGUGGCGAAGGCGACCACCUGGGCUCAUACUGACACUGAGGUGCGAAAGCGUGGGGAGCAAACAGG